GAGUUUGAUCCUGGCUCAGAUUGAACGCUGGCGGGAUGCUUUACACAUGCAAGUCGGACGGCAGCACGGGGCUUCGGCCUGGUGGCGAGUGGCGAACGGGUGAGUAAUGUAUCGGAACGUGCCCGGUAGCGGGGAUAACUACGCGAAAGCGUGGCUAAUACCGCAUACGCCCUACGGGGGAAAGCGGGGACCUUCGGGCCUCGCACUAUUGGAGCGGCCGAUAUCGGAUUAGCUAGUUGGUGGGGUAACGGCCUACCAAGGCGACGAUCCGUAGCUGGUUUGAGAGGACGACCAGUCACACUGGGACUGAGACACGGCCCAGACUCCUACGGGAGGCAGCAGUGGGGAAUUUUGGACAAUGGGGGCAACCCUGAUCCAGCCAUCCCGCGUGUGCGAUGAAGGCCUUCGGGUUGUAAAGCACUUUUGGCAGGAAAGAAACGGCACGGGCUAAUAUCCUGUGCAACUGACGGUACCUGCAGAAUAAGCACCGGCUAACUACGUGCCAGCAGCCGCGGUAAUACGUAGGGUGCAAGCGUUAAUCGGAAUUACUGGGCGUAAAGCGUGCGCAGGCGGUUCGGAAAGAAAGAUGUGAAAUCCCAGGGCUUAACCUUGGAACUGCAUUUUUAACUACCGAGCUAGAGUGUGUCAGAGGGAGGUGGAAUUCCGCGUGUAGCAGUGAAAUGCGUAGAUAUGCGGAGGAACACCGAUGGCGAAGGCAGCCUCCUGGGAUAACACUGACGCUCAUGCACGAAAGUGUGGGGAGCAAACAGGAUUAGAUACCCUGGUAGUCCACGCCCUAAACGAUGUCAACUAGCUGUUGGGGCCUUCGGGCCUUGGUAGCGCAGCUAACGCGUGAAGUUGACCGCCUGGGGAGUACGGUCGCAAGAUUAAAACUCAAAGGAAUUGACGGGGACCCGCACAAGCGGUGGAUGAUGUGGAUUAAUUCGAUGCAACGCGAAAAACCUUACCUACCCUUGACAUGUCUGGAAUCCCGAAGAGAUUUGGGAGUGCUCGCAAGAGAACCGGAACACAGGUGCUGCAUGGCUGUCGUCAGCUCGUGUCGUGAGAUGUUGGGUUAAGUCCCGCAACGAGCGCAACCCUUGUCAUUAGUUGCUACGAAAGGGCACUCUAAUGAGACUGCCGGUGACAAACCGGAGGAAGGUGGGGAUGACGUCAAGUCCUCAUGGCCCUUAUGGGUAGGGCUUCACACGUCAUACAAUGGUCGGGACAGAGGGUUGCCAACCCGCGAGGGGGAGCCAAUCCCAGAAACCCGGUCGUAGUCCGGAUCGCAGUCUGCAACUCGACUGCGUGAAGUCGGAAUCGCUAGUAAUCGCGGAUCAGCAUGUCGCGGUGAAUACGUUCCCGGGUCUUGUACACACCGCCCGUCACACCAUGGGAGUGGGUUUUACCAGAAGUAGUUAGCCUAACCGCAAGGGGGCGAUUACCACGGUAGGAUUCAUGACUGGGGUGAAGUCGUAACAAGGUAGCCGUAUCGGAAGGUGCGGCUGGAUCACC
This 1515-nucleotide ribosomal RNA is filed under the name Bordetella holmesii 70147. RNAcentral describes it as "bacterial SSU rRNA". It matches the Rfam family "Bacterial small subunit ribosomal RNA". The record is from RNAcentral. Lineage: Bacteria; Pseudomonadati; Pseudomonadota; Betaproteobacteria; Burkholderiales; Alcaligenaceae.